UAUAACCACACAGCGCCUCGUUCUCUCUAAAAACUUCAUCAUCAAACCACCUCUCUUCUCCAUCCUGCCUUCCUUCCUUCUCUCCUUCCAUCCAUCGUCCUCUUCGCGUGUCUAGGGUUUCCUGAAUUCUCCCAUUGUCCUGUGCUUUUUGAUUCGAUAUAGUUUCUUUUUGCUGCUUAGAGAGAGGGUCGUGGUGGUUCUCAAUGGCCACCUCAACUAUGAAGUCUCAGCCUCUCCACAACUUCUCGCUGCCUUUCUUGAAAUGGGGUGGCAAGAAUCAGACGAAUACUAGCCAUCGUUGCCGCCGUCAGACAUCCGGCGACUCCUCCCAACCAAUCGCUGACCAUAACUCUGAGCCGGAGUCGGAAUCCGAAACUCGAGCUUGCAAGGUCGGAUCGAGAACUGCCAGAAACCGAUUUGUGUUCUCUUCGGGCUAUUCUGGAGAGAAAUCUCUGAAGCAACGGGACCAACAUGAGCCUUUAGAGUCAGCGAGUAACAAUGAAACUGAUGAUGAAGCUGGAGUGAGGAAGAGGGAGACAGAGGAGGCUGAAGAAGCUGAAGCUGAAGAUUUAGUGCAGAAGCCAUGGAAUUUGAGGCCCAGAAAACCAAUAUUCUCGAAAGGCACUGGGGAGAUCGGAGGAGGACCGUCGAGGCACGGAGAUUUGGUGGAAACGGCUCCGGCGGUUACCGCUGUUCAUAUGGUUCAGCAAGGUGAUAACCAUCCGCAGCCGAAAUCACGUCACUUGAGGGGUUCCACGGAGACGCAAAAUACGGAGAGAAAGAAGAGAAGAUUAUGGAUCGCUUUGUCAAAAGAAGAGAUUGAAGAGGACGUAUUUGUGAUGACUGGGUCGAGGCCCUCUCGAAGACCUAAGAAAAGACACAAGAAUGUGCAGAAACAACUUGAUUGUGUUUUCCCUGGCUUAUGGUUGGUGGGACUCUCUGCCGAUGCUUACAAGGGGCUAAGUACUCCAGCAAAGAGGUAGAGAGAAGUCGCAGUGGGUUGCAGUUUGCCAAAUGGAUUGAAAAUCUUUGGGCUUCGGUAGAUGUAGAAUCUUGAACGGAGGCCCUACGUUGUUGGGGGGCCAGAGUAGCAAGUAUACAGUUGUUUUUCAAUCCCUCAAUUCAGUUCUGGGUUUAUUAUCGGUGGCAAUCGUGCCCUCUAGCUCUGGGUUGAGCCAUUUUGAAAGAAGAACCGAAAGUUAAUAACCUUGACUGUGUGCUUUGUGAGUGUGCCCUUAAAUACGUCGAUGUUUCAAGUUUAUAAUUUCAUGAAUCCGCUUUUUUAAAAGUGUGCAUGAUAAGUCAUCUUUGGGAUCGUAUGAAGACUAGCGAGAUCGUUCACAAAACUGUGGAGUAGUUUUAGGGCUCUGUUUCUUGUUCUUCUUACCAUUUUUGCUGUGUGCUUUAAAAGAAAGUAACAAGGUAAGGGGCCUUGUCAGUUUGUGCCGUUUUGUGCUUUGACAUACUGGCAAGUUCUCAU
RNA transcript from Neltuma alba, 1480 nucleotides. RefSeq lists it as uncharacterized. The record is from RefSeq and is a predicted model, not a curated record. The transcript is spliced from 4 exons. Lineage: Eukaryota; Viridiplantae; Streptophyta; Magnoliopsida; Fabales; Fabaceae.